This 383-nucleotide small RNA is filed under the name Pan troglodytes (chimpanzee). RNAcentral's name for it is "processed transcript". Lineage: Eukaryota; Metazoa; Chordata; Mammalia; Primates; Hominidae. The record is from RNAcentral.
CUGCUACAGGAGAAAUUUAUCUGUUUUGCAAAGGAGCGGAUUCUUCGAUAUUCCCCCGAGUGAUAGAAGGCAAAGUUGACCAGAUCCGAGCCAGAGUGGAGCGUAACGCAGUGGCUGCAGGAGAAAGCUGCGGACACCAUCGAGGCCCUGCAGAAGGCCGGGAUCAAGGUCUGGGUUCUCACGGGAGACAAGAUGGAGACGGCCGCGGCCACGUGCUACGCCUGCAAGCUCUUCCGCAGGAACACGCAGCUGCUGGAGCUGACCACCAAGAGGAUCGAGGAGCAGAGCCUGCACGACGUCCUGUUCGAGCUGAGCAAGACGGUCCUGCGCCACAGCGGGACCCUGACCAGAGACAACCUCUCCGGACUUUCAGCAGAUAUGCA